This 2849-nucleotide long non-coding RNA is filed under the name Nicotiana benthamiana. RNAcentral describes it as "long non-coding RNA (NBEN_LNC006857)". Lineage: Eukaryota; Viridiplantae; Streptophyta; Magnoliopsida; Solanales; Solanaceae. The record is from RNAcentral.
UUUCUAAACUCCUCAUUCUUCCACUUCUCUACACCUCUCUAAACUUAAAAUCUCUCUACCUCCCUCUUCUUCCUCCACCGCCGCCGCCACUGUCACCGUGGCCCAUCGAAAUAGUUUCCCGACGGCAGCCUACCUUUAAAUUCCCUUAAAUUCACACAAUCUUUUCCUCUUUUCCUCCUCUACCUCAUCUUAUCAACCAAACUCCUCAAAGACUAACCAAAAUUCGUAGAUCUAAAAAAAAGCAAAACCCUAGAUCUACCUUUUUUUGUGUGCAUUUUCCUCGCCAUUAAAAAAUCCUCCGGUCAAGAUCUCCCAUCAAGGAUCUUAGAUCCAAGACGAGAUUUUUGAGGAUCUUUUCACGGUUAGAUCCAUGUAAUUUUGUAUUUAGUUUCCACCUUCCUUAAUUUAUUUAUGCAUUUAUAUUUUUUGCAUUUUUAUUCUCGUUAUGUAUGUUAUUUUCUAUUUUUUUAUUUCUAUUUAUUUAAUGUUUUUUAUUUAUUAUUAUUUAUAUUCUGCGCAAUUAUUUUAAAUAUUUAUUUUGUCCGAUUUUUAUUUAUUUAUUUUUUCUGUUUAACGCAUUUGUUUUACCUCUAUUAUAAUUAAUUAAUUGCUUAAGUCAUAGUUAACUAAAGUAUGAAAAAAAUAUGUGUAUAUAGAUUUUAAUUAGAUAAAAAUGAUUAAAAUAUUAUUAAAAAUGUAGUAUUUAGAUUCCGUUUUUAUUUUUUAUUUUACAUCUCAUCAUUUUAAUUACUGUUAUUCUAUUAAAUAUAUUAUGUAGUUAUUAGUGGGUUGUAUUACUAAUAUAAUACGUUGUGGUAGGGUAGAAAUUGCAAUACUUAAUUUAAAUAAUAGCACUAGCUUAGUGGAAGAUUUAAAAAUGGAAAGAUAAUUUGAUAAUGGAGGAUGCAUUAACCGGAAUUGCCUAUUAAAUGCUGAAAAGUAAAAAGAGGGGGAACAAUAGUGAAUAGUUAAAAAUCUUCACAUAGUAGAAGAAUAUUUAAAAGCUGGAAAGUAAAAGGAGGAGGGGUAAUAGUAAAAGUUUUUCCCUUUAUAACUGUAAAAGAAAAAAGGAGGGCUAAAAAGAAGAGUUUGGGUUUAAAUAUAGAGAUUAAGAGAGUCAUUAAGGGAUACUUAAACAGAGAAUAGGAGAAAGAAUUAUUGUUGAGAAAUUAGAGAGCUGAAGAUCCCACUAUUUAUUUGAAGUUUCUCUUUUUGCUUCAUUGAUUUCAUUUCUCUUGAUUCAAAUAUAUUAAGACCGAUCUUAAGUAAUUCUAGUGUAUCUUUGAGUUCAUUUGGCCUGUGUUGAUAUUGCUGUGGGAUAAGGUCCAUUUUUGUCGGUAUUUUCUUGUUUGAUUUGCUGGGUUUCUGGUCUAUUGCUGUUGGCAUUUCUAGGAUUCUAUUGAUUUUUGAUCUGUUACUGUUCUGCUGCUUACUGUUGGUUGCUGCUGUGUAUGCUACUGCUAUUCUGCUUAUCAUUCCUCUUCUACUUUUAUUUCUAAUAUCAGGUACAUAACUGGUACACAUUAUUAUAAGCCGAAACAUGGAAGCAUGAAAUAUAAAUUAUGAAGAGUUGCAGUUGUAAACUCAACAUAGUUUCUUUCGUUUUAUGGUUAUAGUUAAGAGCAUGCUAUAUACUUUGUUGUAUAAACUUCUGCCAUUAUUUUUGUGUAAAUGGACAAUUCUGUGAAAUGUUGUCCAACAAUAUUUUAUCUUAGUUUGAUCAUUAAGUAGUAAUAUUAGUUUGAUCAUUAAGUAGUAAUAUGUCCAAAUGCAUGUCUGGCCCGUUAGACUGUUCUUAAAUGCCAUACAAGUUAAGUUGCCUCAUUUAAAUAGUAUCAUGUUUUAAAACUUGUAGUAUAUUGCUUAAUUAGAUAUCAUUACUUUACAUUUCUGCCUCUUAAAGUUCUGACCAUGUAUAGGAUAAUUUAGCUGGGCUCAACAUUAGAAUAAAAUGGCCCAGAUCCCAUUUAAUACUAUAUGUGCUGGACCUGGGCCCACGUUAGCAAACGAACUGCGUUUACUUUCUAAUUUAGCAAAUCGCGUCCGGAACCUCGCUAUAACAAGUUUGAAGCAUGUAAUUAAAUUAGGACCUUUCAUUAUAGAGACGGACGAAAAGUAGAAAAAUAUAAGUCAAACCUUUCCCAAGUGGCGACUCCAAAUAAAUAAAUAAUCCCGAUCCGAAUAUUUUCACUUAAAUUUAAAAACUCCCUUGUGCAUCUAUCCCUCGAGGUAGGCGCGCAAAAGGGAUGUGUGACAGCUCUGGCGACUCCGCUGGGGAACAAGAACCCAGAACGUUUUGUUCAGGAUUCAGAAUUCGAGCUUAGAUAAAUUUAUUGUAUUUGGUUAUAUGUGAUAUUCCUAUAUAUUUCAUGCUUAAUGUGGUAAAUGUUUACCGCUUUCAUAUUAUGGAAAUGUAUCUAAACUGUGUCGAGACCCAUUUUCUCUCUGAGUAUUCUAAAUCAUGAAGAAGGGUGGAUUUCGUGUGACUUCUUAUCUAUUUAGAGUCGGUCCCAUUUUUAGAAUGAGGUUCGGAUAAGUUGUAAAGCCGGGUUGAGCUUCUAUAUCCUCGGCACGCUGCCCCCCGGCUCGAGCUGUUCGCUCGGGUAAGCCAGGUCUAGAACAAUAAGCCCAGGUUUUUACCAAGAAUGACGUGAUUUCAUGACGAAUCCCUAGUAGGAACGCUUAUUUUCAUCAUGUUGUAUUUGACUUAGGAGACUCAACACAGGGGUUGGGUAUGUCUAGGACAGGUGUAUCUGAAAUGAAAAGAUCAUCUUGUUUCAUCUUACGUGCUACUUGCGUAUCUGUCUGUUUCGGCUUGUAUCUUGUCUGGCUUCUAGAAUAUGGAAAGA